RNAcentral lists this long non-coding RNA (4867 nucleotides) under Arabidopsis lyrata. RNAcentral's name for it is "long non-coding RNA (ALYR_LNC003164)". Lineage: Eukaryota; Viridiplantae; Streptophyta; Magnoliopsida; Brassicales; Brassicaceae. The record is from RNAcentral.
GAAUGGGAGAAAUCUUGAAAGAAGAUUCUUUAAGCAACCCUAACUCUCCUGAACCAGCGAGUUGCUUUUCUAGCUCCCGUGACCCUUAUAGAACACCCGAGAGGCCUUUGCUUUUGUCCCGUGUAAGGCAUUCUGUAGCCGAUGACAUGAACAAAGCCGAUGGGACAGAGACUGGUUUAGAUUUUUUGUUUGCAGAUGCUAAGGAAAGUUCUGUGAAUACAACUCCAAGUAGAAGCAGUAGAUUGUGGUGUUUGAGUAAAGUGCCUUCUGAUACUUCUUCUUGAUUUAGAGGGUCUUCGUAGUUUGAUGCGUGCCACCUGAAGCUUCUCCUUUACAUGGCUUCAUAAUAUACAAUAUCUAGAUCCCUUCGUAUUAUUCAUCAAGAAUUUUAUAGCAAAAUGGCUUCCUAGCCUUCUAAAAUAAUCCACGGUAUAGUCGAUCUUCUUUUAAUGUAGUAAGCAUAACUGGUCACCAAAUAUAUAUUCUUAGUAUCGGAUUACGCAAAUGAAUCCAACCCAAAAAAGCUCGUUAGUGUUGGGAUGGUAGAAGAAGUGAAGCGUAGUUUAAAUAGAACUCUAGGAAGCCAUGUCACAUAUUUUUUUAGUAUGUGCAAGUACAUAGAUCAAACGGAUCGUGAUUACCAAAAAAAGUUCUUGUGAAAAAACAAAUAUUCAUAUAAUUAGAUAUGGACCUUAUUUAAGAUAUCUAUAGUUAAAACUUUUGAACAUGACUUAUAAGGCUAUAAGUAGUUUAAGACAUCCCUAACUAGACAUAUAAAUAAACAUGAAAAUUAGUGUUUUUAUGGUACAUGGAAGUAUUUAAAGAGAGAGGAAAUUAAGCUAUGAUUGGAUUGAAUUAUUUACCAUACUCUCAUGUAAUAGCUUCUACUAUAUCGUAUCUUUGUAACCAUUUAAAAACCCCCACUAAAUACGCUAUUUAUUUUAGAGUUUAAAAAUGUAAUUAGUAAGAAGAGAUAAUAUAACUAACAAUGUGCAUUAUUGUUUUUUUUUUUUUUUUGGAUAUUGCAAGACCUCUAUUGAAGUAUCUUAUUUUUUGGAUUCUCCCCCAUUAUACUUAUAAUUAAAAAAAAGUAUGAAAGAGAAAGAAGAGAAAGGUUCUUAAAUAAGAACUUUAGGUAUACUAACUAGAAUCUCUAUUUACACUUGUCUCUUUCUAAUUGGUUCAUUAUUUGUUUUUAAAACUAAAAAUUAUAUAUUUAUAAUUAAACUAUAUUUAAAGGUUAAUACUUUAAAGUUGAGAUACUCUUUUUGGGUAUGUAAAACCAUUGGAGGUUCUCUAAACCUAUUGUAAAAUCUUUAAUUUCACUAUUUACAGCUCAUAAUUAGCUGGCAGUGCAGUAGAUAUUUUAACCAAAUAUAGAAAAAUGAUUCUCCAAAAGGUAUAAUAUAUGUAUGAGUUCACAAAUUAUCUAUAAAAUAACAGUCAUAUUAAUGUAUAAGUAAAAAGAGGGAAAAAUCCAUACAUUAAUGUAUGAAACGGUUAUUUUACCCAAAUUUCCUUUUAAUCGAAUUCAACUUAUUGACUAAACGAAAUUAGAUGGACCUUCCGGCCAAAACAUAUGUUUUUUAAUAUAUUUAUUAAAACUUUUAUUCAUAUAACUAAAUCUGUGAUUUUACAUAAAAUGUUUUCUCUUAUACUCUACUAUUAUAUUCAUAUAUAUAUACACUAAAUGUAAUAUAUAGUUUAAUGGUAUUUUAUUAUCUUAUUUUAUUAGUUUACAAACUUUUUUCUUUGUAUGUUUCCCUUUAAUGUAUAUAGGUAUUUUAAAGAUUUUCUUAGAAUACACGUUUUAAAUAUUUCGUGAGAUCCCCGUUACAUUGUUUUCAAAAAAUUUCGCGGGUUCUAAAUAUUCCUUGAGACUCACGUUACAUUCUAUUCAAAAAUUUUACUAUAAAUAAACAAUUUCUUUGAGCUUUUAUAUUUUUAUGAUUUCACAUGUAAAUUGAAGAUGUAAUAUUUAAAAAGAAAAAAAAAACACUUCAAAAUAUUAUUAAAUUUCAUUGUUUAUAAACAAAGCUUGAAAUUACUCUUAAAAGAAAAGUGAGAGUAAUAUAUAGGAAGAUAAACUAUUCUUAGUAAAAAGAAAAGAAAAUCUAUUCUUAGUCAUAGCUAUAAUUAGUGGCCUUGUCAGUUAAUAAGACAGUAAACAAAAAAUUAAUGUUGUAAUUUCGAAUUAAUGAGUCCAGCAACAUGAUAAGCCACAUACUGAGUAAAAAUCACCAUUCUCUUUGCUAUAUAAACAGCCUUGGGCAAAGAAACUAAACAAGCACACACCAAAGAAAAGAAAAACAAAGAAAAUGAGGUCGAAACUUAAGUUAUCAUUCAUAGCUAACAACAACAUAAGGAGAACCACAUUCAAGAAGAGGAAGGGAGGGAUAACGAAGAAACUCCAUGAGCUGACAACUCUCUGCGACGUCAAAGCAUGUGCGGUAAUUUACAGUCCGUACGAGAAUCCAACGGUGUGGCCGUCAACCGAAGGUGUUCAAGAGGCGGUUUCGGAGUUUAUGGAGAGGCCGGUGACAGAACAAUCCAAGCUGAUGGUGAAUCAUGAGACCUUCUUGCAGGGCAGAAUUACCAAAGAAACAAAGAAACUGGAGCGUCUACGUCGUGAAAACCGAGAAUCUCAGCUUAAACAAUUUAUGUUUGAUUGUCUUGAAGGCAAGAUGAGUGAGCAUCAAUAUGAUGCAAGGGACUUUCAAGAUUUAAGUUCUCAUAUUGAUCACUAUAUCAAUAAGCUUAAGUCCAGGCUCCAGUUACUUACAGAAAAUGGUGAGUCUUCUUCUUCCUUUCCUCCUCCGCUUCAUACUCAAGUUGCGGGUGCGGCUCCUCUUGCUAUUGUGGGUGCAGGUAUUCCUAUGAAUCAGAAUCAAUAUGAGCCAGUUCAGCCCUAUAUCCCUACUGGUUUAAGUGAUCAUAUUCAAUAUCAGAAUAUGAAUUUGAUGAAUCAAAAUCAACAAGAGCCGGUUCAAUACCAAGCUCUUGUUGAUUUUAAUAACCCGAUUCAACAUGGAAUCUAUGAUAUGAAUUUGAAUCAGAAUAUGAGUUUGGAUCCAAAUCAAUAUCCGUUUCAACAUGACCCAUUCAUGAAUAUGUUGAUGGAAUAUCCUCAUCAGCAAGUGGGUGGUUAUGUUGGAGAUCAUACACACAUCCCUUUCAUGGACGGAAACUACAACUACCACCAAAUACCAAAUGUUGGUUUUACUACCACCGCUCACAUGCCUUCCACCACCAUCACCACCACCACCACCGUCACCACCACCACCGAUGUUUCUGCUCCUUACAUCAAUAAUCAUCUUUAAUCAAAAGAUGUAGACUUUUAAGUGAUGUGUUUCUGUGGUUUGCAUUUGUGUUUGUUCAUUUCAAAAGACUAAUAUUUAAUUAUGUCUUUUCUUUUUAAUUAAUUGUUGUAAGAUUUAAAGGUUUUACCUUUAAGUCAGUUCUAUUUUUAUGUAUUAUGUAAUGUAUUUAUGCGCCGUAGAGCCAGAAAUUUCAAUUAUAUUUGAAGAAGUUUGAUCACAAAUUUUUUUACUAGUUUUUUGUUCGUAAUACAUAACUAAAUUGAUCUGCCAAUACCCUCCGUACCCUUGAAGCCAAUACUUAUAUGAUAAAAUUCAACAUAAAAAGUAGAAUAAAAAUUAGUAACAGAAUAUUUUGUGAUUUUUUAAUGUUUGAUAUAUUAUUUGCAAAAGAUCAAUAUAUAAUAUGCACAACCAUUUUCAGAUUUAUUAGCCUAUAAUGUUUAAUAUUGGUGGCUCUUCAACUCUGAUUUAUUGGUCAUAUAUAUCUCUUUUUCAAUCCAUAGCUAUCUUUCCAUAAAUUUUCAUAUUUUCUCCCUUACACCUAACACCUUACCUUUUGCCACCCUCUCAUGUGUAUAUAAGCACACUAUUUUCUCAUGUUCUCUUCGAUCCCCCAACAACAAAUCCUCAUAUUUUCUCUUAAACCUUUAUUUAAUUCCUCUAUAAAUUGAUAUUUUUCUGUGAAAGUUAGGAUACUCUUUAUUGGUGUAUUGUUUUCAUCGUUGUCUCAGUUAUUUUUUUUAGAUCGAGCUUAAAUACUUUAGUGUUAUUUAAUACUAAAAAAACUUUAGAUUUUGUGUAUUAGAUCUGAAUACUUUUCAACUCUUUAAAUAAAUAAUUGUUAUGCAUAGACUAGAGUUCUUGUUUUUCUCAUCUUUUUUUUUUGUCUGAAACUGGUUGCAAUGAGUCACUCUUGAACUGAGCAGAAGCACUUAGAAAUCAGAUCAAAUCCAAACACCCUAAUCUUCCUCACUCGUUUCUUGAUGCCACAAAGAUCCAAUAUGGCAAGGUAAACAUAAACAUAACUAAUCACAUCUUUCUUAGUCCCAUGGUCUGAAACAUCUUUCUUCUCUAUUUUCAGGACAUUGGUCAUGCGGUUCUUGAGACAUAUUCCCGAACACUUGCGAAUCUAGCUUUCCGGAUUCUUUCAAGAAUGGGAGAAAUCUUGAAAGAAGAUUCUUUAAGCAACCCUAACUCUCCUGCACCACCGAGUUGCUUCCCUAGCUCCCGUGACCCUUAUAGAACACCCGAGAGGCCUUUGCUUUCGUCCCGUGUAAGGCAUUCUUUAACCGAUGACAUGAACAAAGCCGAUGGGACAGAGACUGGUUUAGAUUUUUUGUUUGCAGAUGCUAAGGCAAGGUCAGUGAAUACAACUCCAAGUAGAAGCAGUAGACUGUGGUGUUUGAGUAAAGUGCCUUCUGAUACUUCUUCUUGAUUUAGAGGGUCUUCGUAGUUUGAUGCGUGCCACCUGAAGCUUCUCCUUUACUUUGAGGGUUUUAAAUUAUGAAGCCUAAGAUAUUGUAAAUGUAUUAUUAACAUGGCUUCAU